UUUGAUCCUGGCUCAGAACGAACGCUGGCGGCAGGCCUAACACAUGCAAGUCGUGCGCGCCUUCGGGUGAGCGGCGGACGGGUGAGUAACACGUGGGAAUGUGCCCUUCUGUUGAGGAUAGCCCCGGGAAACUGGGAGUAAUACUCGAUACGCCCUUAGGGGGAAGGAAGGAUCAGCCCGCGUCUGAUUAGGUAGUUGGUGGGGUAAUGGCCUACCAAGCCUACGAUCAGUAGCUGGUUUUAGAGGAUGAUCAGCCACACUGGGACUGAGACACGGCCCAGACUCCUACGGGAGGCAGCAGUGAGGAAUCUUAGACAAUGGGCGCAAGCCUGAUCUAGCCAUGCCGCGUGAGUGAUGCAAGGCCUUAGGGUCGUAAAGCUCUUUCGCCAGGGAUGAUAAUGACAGUACCUGGUAAAGAAACCCCGGCUAACUCCGUGCCAGCAGCCGCGGUAAUACGGAGGGGGUUAGCGUUGUUCGGAAUUACUGGGCGUAAAGCGCGCGUAGGCGGACUGGAAAGUUGGGGGUGAAAUCCCAGGGCUCAACCCUGGAACUGCCUCCAAAACUAUCAGUCUAGAGUUCGAGAGAGGUGAGUGGAAUUCCGAGUGUAGAGGUGAAAUUCGUAGAUAUUCGGAGGAACACCAGUGGCGAAGGCGGCUCACUGGCUCGAUACUGACG
This 675-nucleotide ribosomal RNA is filed under the name alpha proteobacterium GWS-AG-H251. RNAcentral describes it as "bacterial SSU rRNA". It matches the Rfam family "Bacterial small subunit ribosomal RNA", at positions 12 to 745 of the family's 1533-position model. Lineage: Bacteria; Pseudomonadati; Pseudomonadota; Alphaproteobacteria. The record is from RNAcentral.